GUGCUCGCUUCAGCAGCAUAUCUACUAAAAUUGGAAUAAUACAGAGAAGAUUAGCAUGGCCCCUGCACAAGGAUGACACGCAAAUGUGUGAAGAGCUCUAUAAUUUU
Molecule: small nuclear RNA, 107 nt
Filed under: Piliocolobus tephrosceles (Ugandan red Colobus)
Lineage: Eukaryota; Metazoa; Chordata; Mammalia; Primates; Cercopithecidae
Source: RNAcentral